AUCAGGAUGAAUUUAAUUUUGGUUCUGAUUGAACGUUUUUCAGUAGUUUUGAGACAUGCUAAUCAUUAUUCUACAAAGUUUAUAUUAAAAAUAGUAUUAAAAAAUUAAUAUAAUACCAAUUAGAAUAAGGUGUAAAGGUGAGUAUUGUAAAUCAGAUACCUUAUAGUCUCCAUAAAUCGGAGAUAUUUUUACUAAUUUCAUUUAAAAUAAUGAAUCUAUUUACUAUUUAUGGUUUCAUAUUUAGCUAGUAAAAAGGUAAUUUAGCUAAUUAUCAAUAAAGGAAAGUUUCUGCUAUAAGAUUCGAUUUAUUUUGUUUAAUGGUAGUUGGUAGGGUAACGGCCUACCAAGCCUACGAUCAAAAGCCACGUUUGAUAGAACAAAUGGCCACAUUGGGAGUGAAAUGCCCCAAGUAGUAUACACUACCAGCAGUCAAGAAUAUUAGUCAAUGCUCGAAAGAGUGAACUAGCUAACUGAAAUCACAAACAAGCUUAAAAAGCUAUUUGUGAUAAGGUAAGGGAAAAAACUGAUGUUACCUUACUAAAAGUGUUGUCCAAAACUGGUGCCAGAAGACUCGGUAAGACCAGAAACGCGAACGUUAAUCGUCCUAAUCAGGCGUAAAGGGUUCGUAGGCUGCUUUUAACAUUUUUAUUUAAAAAAGCUCUUAUUAAAUUAAAUAUUUAUAACAACAAAAAAAUAAAUACAAAAAUAAGUUAAAUAAAAUAAUAAUAAAAGCUAGAAUCAAAUUUAGGAUAUGAAAAAUGCUUAGUGUAGGGAUGGUAUCCGUAGAUACUAAGUGGAAUACUAAAGGCGAAAGCUUCUAUCUAUUAAUGAUUGACGCUGAGGAACGAAGGUGAGAAUAGGAAAUAGGAUUAGGUACCCAGAUACCUCUCACUGUCAACGAUGAAUGGUAGUUAGUCAGUUUUAAAACAAAUUGGUAGCGAUGUUAACGCGAUAACCAUUCCGCCUUGCGAGUACGGUUGCAAAACUGAAACCAAAAAAAUUAGUCGGUCUCGGAGCAAACGAAGUGGAGCAUGUUAUUUAAUACGAUAAUACGCGUAAAAUCUUACCAGUUCUUGCAUAUCCAUUCUGAUCUCAGAAUGUGUAGUAAUUUAGUCUUUAUAGAUUAUCUUAUUCGUUUACAGGUGUUGCAUGGCUGUCGUCAGUCCGUGUUUUGAAAAGUUAGGUUAACUCCGCUAACGGACGCAAUCCCUGUUGUUAAUUUAUACUUAACAAUUAAUGAAUUUUAUAUAUUUUCAUUUGGGGCUAAGACAAGUCGUUAUGAUCCUCAUGAACUGGGCUAUAGACGUGCUACAAAAACUUUUACAAAGUGAAGCAAAAUCUGACCUUGAUUAUAAAUAAAAUAUUUAAUAUUGAUAUAUUGAAACUAUUAUUUCUCUUACUCUUUAUUUUAUUAAGAAAAAAUUAAAGUUUAAUCAGGUGAAAUUUAGUUUACUGUAUAUUAUAUUAAUAUAAAUUAAUAUUUUAAUAUAAAGUAUUAUAUAUAUUAUUGUAAUAACUGAUAUCUGUUGAUUUUUUAUUUUAGAGGUUUAGUUGAAUUAGCUAAUCAUUAAAGAAAGUUAAAUUAUUAAAUGAUAAACGGAUUGUCACCUGUAAUUCGGUGGCAUGAAGAAGGAAUUUCGAGUAAUCGUUGAUCACUACGCAACGGUGAAGAUGGAAUUCGGGAUGAACUAACUGUCUGUCGCUGGGAAGGAGCUUAAAUUAGGGGAAACUGCGGCGAGGUUAAAACUUCAACAAAGGCACACACAUAUUAUAAAAUAGCUUAGCAAGCUAAUAUUUAUAAUAUUUAAUCUGUAAUAGGAUUAAAAUUUGUGUAGUUUAUUUGCUAUUUAUGAUAUUUUUAUUGUAAAUUUGUCUUUUAUUUUUUUAACACCUUUGUUAAGCUAAUUAGUUUCAGUUAACCUGAUUAAGUAACAUUUCAAAAGUCAUAGCAGGGUAGUGGUACUGGAAAGUGCUGCUGGAAAAUUUUGGUU
This 1991-nucleotide ribosomal RNA is filed under the name Amanita brunneolocularis. Its description in RNAcentral is "small subunit ribosomal RNA". The stretch from base 1 to 1770 matches the Rfam family "Bacterial small subunit ribosomal RNA". Lineage: Eukaryota; Fungi; Basidiomycota; Agaricomycetes; Agaricales; Amanitaceae. The record is from RNAcentral. RNAcentral also lists the same sequence under 1 other name.